GCCAGAGGAGUGAGAGUAAGAGGAGGAGGACGGGGAGGAUGAGGAUGAGGAAGAGGAAGAGGAAGACCAAGGACCGUAGUCUCUGAUGAGGUCCGAGCCACAGGUCAACAGGGUGCAAUUUGAAGGAAACUCAGAAACAGUCAAAGAAUUGCGAUAUAACUAUGUGCAAGUGAGUCCCGCAAUUGAUGCAUACACUCAACAUUGUGUACAGUAAAUUAUACAUAUUUCAAUAUUGUAAUCAUAAGGACUGUGCUUCACACUAGUGACCACUCCACGUUUAUUUCUGAUAUUGUCAUGUGAGUUUCAGAGAGUCCUUGAGCUUGAGACAGCUGCAGUGGAGCACCAGUUCAUCUUCAUUGAUGAGGUUGGAUUCAACCUCACAAAAAGACGAAAGAGGGGAAGGAAUAUCAUUGGCCAGCGUGCCAUUGUUGAAGUCCCAGGCCAGCGUGGAGGGAACAUCACAAUGUGUGCAGCGCUUGGCUACCAUGGCAUCAUCCAUCACCAUGCUACCCUUGGCCCCUACAACUCUACCCAUCUGAUCACAUUCCUGGACAUCCUACAUAACACACUCAUUCCACCAGAACAGGUAGAUGGUCCAGAACAGCCCAGGUACAUUGUCAUUUGGGACAACGUAAGUUUCCACAGGGCUGCUGUGGUUCGUAACUGGUUCACUGGCCACCCACGCUUUUUAGUUGUUUAUCUCCCUCCAUAUUCUCUAUUCCUCAAUCCCAUUGAGGAAUUUUUCUCUGCAUGGAGAUGGAAGGUGUAUGACUGACAGCCACAAACCCGUAUACCUCUUCUCCAAGCUAUGGAGGACACAUGUGGAGAUAUAGCAGCUGAUUCUUUUCAUGGCUGGAAUCGCCAUGCUAGGAGAUAUUUCCCCCGCUGCUUGGCCAGGGACAACUCUGCUUGUGAUGUGGAUGAGGCGCUGUGGCCAGACCGCAACAGAAGAGAGGAUGCAGCAUAGUUUUCUUUUUUACUGUAACUGUAUGCAGUAAAUUUCUGUUGGAUGUAGUUUAUGUGUGCAACUUUGUGUUGGUUGGGAAUGGGAUAAACUUUGUGUACAAUGUUUUGUGGAAAAAAUAAAAUAAUUUCUACCAUGUAUUUGUGUGUUCAGAGUGUAAAAACAAUAUUCUGAAAUAACAACACAUGCAUGUAUUUACUGUUGUAGGUGUAACACUGAACCAGAAAGGCUUUAGUCAUUAUGAUGAAUGGAGAAGACGUGUUUUCCAUUCAUCAUAGUGUUUAACAUUGAGCACAUGAGUGUUCUGCUGGUUCUUAUAAAUGUCUAUUCAUAUGAUGGUUUGUGUGUGUCAUUUGACAACAAAACCACAUUUUGAGGAGAAAGUACAUUGUUUUGAAUGCAAAGUUUAAUUUUGCAGGUUAAGUGAGGGGGUUUGCCCAUUGUGUGUGUAUUUUUGGAUUUGUGUGUAGAGUUCUGAGAACAUGAGGCAUGCUUUCAGGAAAUGUGUGUAAACAAUUGAGGAAAAACUGUAAUGACUUCAAGCAACUGAUAACUUUCUUCAGUCAAUGGAUUUUAGUGUUUUAGCAACUGAGAAAAACUGUAAAAUAGCAGAAAUUGCUGGUUUUGUUUUUACAGAAAUACACGUGAAACACAACAAGCAUGCCUGACUUUUGUGCUGCCUAUGGAUGCUCUAAUAGACGAUGUCUUCAAUCACAACAACGUGGGAUCAUCUUUCAUUCAUUUCCCAGAGAUGGAGAAAGAAGGAGGCAGUGGGAAGUUGCCCUAAGAAGUGUCUGCGAUCUUCCUCAGAGCUGACGCUCAGUGGCGUCACGAUCAAAACUGUCAGCAAGGAUUUGUUGUGCGGCGAGCCAUUACCAAGCUGUCCUGUGAUGUCUGCCGUGCCAGCCUGGUGAUGGAUGCUGCAUCUGCCUGUGAUGACCAGAGCUUCCAUUUGCUGACUCUGAAGAACAACGGAGGUCUUGUGGUCCCAUCUGAAGGUAUUGUGAGGGUCACCAGAGCAGCAGAGAGGGCAAUUCUCCCGGCAUCAGCGGGCAGACGAUCACAGCCUAUCAAACCACAGGAGGUCAUCUACAUCGUGCGCAAGAGGAUUGGGUCAGAGGAUGUCUUUUUGCUUGGGGAGCACAUCAGUGAGACACAGUACGGAAUUGAGUCUCACUCCCAUGUUGACAUCUAUUGUCUCCCUGUUCUUUAAGCUGAGGAUGCACCACAUAGAGCUCCGGACCCCACGUGACUCUCAGUUAGUAAACGCCAUAUUGGCAGGAAAAAAAGGUAAACAAACAAGGAUCGUAAACAUGAACAUGAACGGGAUCGGCUUGGAUUUUACUUCGUCGGAGUUUACGUCACACUUUAAAACCAAAGAAAUCGUUUUAUAUAGUCAGAAAUUAACCCCUGGGAUACUUUUUAAAAAUGCCAGAAGCUGUCGGAGCGGAGCGGACUUCUUACCGGACCUGGCCGGGGAACCCCUUGGGAUUUCCCCGGAGGAUGCUGGCCCAAGUGGCUGGGGAGAGGGAAGUUUGGGCCUCUCGACGAUACUGCCCCCGUAACCCGACUCUGGAUAAGCGGAUGAAAAUGGAUGGAUGGACAAAUAACAGAUUUACAUGUAAGUAGUUUAAAUAGAGUGCUGUGCUGUUUGAAUGUAUAAACUAAACGCCAAGAGAAAUCACUAGUCUGAUUUUUUUCCGUGAACAAAAUAAAUAUGUCAGGCAGGAGCGUCUCAGGAUCUGUCUGAGAUGUGUCUCGGUGAGACAGAUAAUAGCAAUCCAAAGUGCUUUUUAUGUGUGAUCUGACAAUUGAUCAACCAUUGCUUAAAAAUUAAAUACAGCUUAGCCGGUUAAUUGCUGUGAUCCUAAAACACGUAAACAUUUUACGUGACGUUUACUUGUUGCUAUGAGUAAUAAGACAGAAAAAGCCACGCCAAAAUAAGUUUAGGAAGCCCACUAAGAAUCGUAAUAAAAGCAUUUAAAAUAAACGCCAUACACAGUUGAGGAAACGUUGGUUUAAGUACCUGAUAUGAAGUGGUCGCUGCAUAAGCGAAAACCUUUACUCUUGGGAUCCCACAGCUUUAUUUUAGCCCGGUCACUAGCGCGUUUUAUUACAAUCAUCCAACGUUUGCGGCGCUCCGGAUCUUGGGGAAUCCUGUAGAUGGCUCAUCCCUUAUGUCGUCCGCGUCUGUUCUGCAUCCUGGGGCACAACAGGAAUCUACCAUAUUUCCUGUCUGAUUGAGUUUUCUGACAAUAACAAAUAGCCCAGCUGCCGGCUUCUGCCUGCCAAUAUGGCGCUGUUUCGAUUUGAACUGUUGCAUGCCGGGAGAAGUGACGUCAACUCCCGGAGCUCUAUAGCAAGAUUAGCAACUCUUAGCUUUCAGUCUGACAGCGUGAGACAGAAGCUCACAAAAGCAGUCUUUUUGAAAGGUGACCCACAAUGUGCUUUAGCAUCUGUCUUAGAUCUGUUAUUUUUAUAAUCAAAAGCAUGUAUAAUCUGUAAUAAACAAGUUUUUCAUAACUA
Long non-coding RNA from Nothobranchius furzeri (turquoise killifish), 3490 nucleotides. RefSeq lists it as uncharacterized. Lineage: Eukaryota; Metazoa; Chordata; Actinopteri; Cyprinodontiformes; Nothobranchiidae. The record is from RefSeq and is a predicted model, not a curated record.